Molecule: ribosomal RNA, 303 nt
Filed under: uncultured bacterium
Lineage: Bacteria
Description: partial 16S ribosomal RNA
Rfam family: Bacterial small subunit ribosomal RNA
Source: RNAcentral
AGCAGUAGCCACGGUAAUACGAAGGGUGCAAGCGUUACUCGGAAUUACUGGGCGUAAAGCGUGCGUAGGUGGUGGUUUAAGUCCGUUGUGAAAGCCCUGGGCUCAACCUGGGAAUUGCAGUGGAUACUGGGUCACUAGAGUGUGGUAGAGGAUAGUGGAAUUUCCGGUGUAGCAGUGAAAUGCGUAGAGAUCGGAAGGAACAUCUGUGGCGAAGGCGACUAUCUGGGCCAACACUGACACUGAGGCACGAAAGCGUGGGGAGCAAACAGGAUUAGAUACCCCCGUAGUCCCUGUCUCUUAUAC